AACGACUAAGGCAAUCAAACUUGUCUGUAGCCGCUACAACCCCUGCUAGAAUCGCACGGCCAACUAAGUCUAUUUUCUUCUCAUUCCUCUCAGGUAGCAUGAGCUGCACCAAUUUCUCAACUCCUUCAGAAUCUACCAAACCACCUUUGUCUGUAAAUUUUGAAAUCUCAGACUUUAAACCACUUUCUGUUCUGACGGGACCAGAACCACUGUCAUCUACUCGAGUAGAACGUUCCCGUUUAACAGACUCAGAACCAUGAUCCAUGCGCUCUCUUUUCCUUCCCUUACCCUGAGAGAGAAAAGAAUUGUUGUUUGGGAUGCCAUCUUUCGCUUGUGAUGUUGUUGGACUAUUCGUGGACUUGGGAGAACGACCUCCCUGUUGUAGUGUUGUAUGCAUUUCUGAACGAGUCUUACACAAUAACUUAUCUACUUCAAGUUGUCGAUCCUGCAAAGUGAAAAAAUGCCUUAGUUACCAGAAGAAAAACAUAAAUCUAGAUAGGAGAAUGCAGUUGAUGGUGAAUUAUAAUCUCACAUCAAUAUAGUCUUGAUCAGUCAGCCACCAUAAGCGCUCGUUUGUAACGUCGUAUACUCGCCGACACACAAACGAGCAGAUACCAGAUGGCAGUUCAACACCUCUCGGAAGGAAGGCAACUUUACACGGAUGCAGUAAAGAUGCAGCAGGUAUAGUAUCCUGGUGAAAGGAAUAAAAGAGUUCGUUCGGCUCGGCUUCUAGAAGUAUGCCUUUGCCAAGUUUUAAUUCUGUGGGUCGGUAAAGCCAAUUAACACCCAACUUCAACUUAUCUUCUUUCUUGGCAAUGAUCAAGCGAAUUAUCCCAAUGAACGGUGGACAAUCCUGUGGUGGCUUAAAAAGAGCACAGUCACCAACACUAAUUUUGCGGCCGUCCUGCUAGUGACAGCAAAACACAACAAACCUAUAAGACGAAGAGCCAACAAAAAAAGAAAAAAAACAAUACCCAUACACAUAAAUCACCAGACUGAUGUGAUCAAUUCUUUGUUCAAUCAGGCUAGAAAUUGGUAAAGAAAAAAAAACCCUCAUUUCCUCGAAUCAAUCAAUAGAAUCCCAAAAUCCAGGCAAAUUUCAACACUCCAGGCAAACCCAUCAACCAAAACAAAUGGAAGCACGAAAAAAAAUGAGCGUCUGGGAAUAAAAAGUCGAAACGAAAAGGAUUCGAAUUACCUUAGAAAACGAGGUAGACGAAGAUAAAGACAAACAAGAAGAACCACCACCUUCCACACUCGCAAUUACACGCGAGGAAGAUAUCAACAUGUGCCGACGACGACUUUUGUGCCUCCGCUCACAAACCCUCCCAUGCAUAGCCUUCUAUCAUCUUCUCCUUCGAACAACAUCAAUACACUACUCCUCAGCGAAAUCCAACAAAUCCUCAAGCAAUUCCCUUUAUUCCCAGACAAUUUUCGAUACCUUAGAUCCACGAAACCCACCGGCGACGCACAGAAAAAAACCCUAAUUUCGCGACGAAAUGGAUCAAAUCUCUAGGGUAGUUUCAAUUACCGAUCCGAAGAUAACUACACAGAUCCAAAAUCAACAACAGCAACAAGGAAGUAAUCGAAUCAGCCUUGUUUCGAUCCAGGCAUACGAACUUUUUUCCUUCGCGAAAUCGCGUAAGCGAACAAAACACCAGCAAAAAUAAUAAAUCGUAGAGAGAGAGAGAGAGAGACGGGGCAAAAAGGGGAAAGGUGACUUGGGAGAGUUCGGGCGGAUCGGGUCGGGUAGAGAGAAAGAGGGGAGAAGUUGUGGAAAGGGGCAAAGAUAACGUGACAGUGCGGUGACUUAAAUGAUAAAACAAUAUGUGCGUGACGUCAUCUCCGAUCUUUUUCAGGUGACAUAGGGACUAGAGAGAUUAAGAGGUGGGUGAGUGACGGACGGUUUGACCACGUUUCCUUACUCCUUUGACUUUAUUUCUUUUGUUUGUUUUUUUUUUCAAUCAAAAAACUUUGAUCCACGGUUUGCAGAACCGGAAUAAACCAAGAAAAAGUAUUUUAUGAAUUUUAUUUGCUCAAUUUAAAUUAUUUUCAAUUAACAUAUACUGUGAUGACCAAUUUAUGAUCAGUACAAACUUGGUUAGUUAUUGUCUCAACCACUCAUAAUCAUUUCUCAACUAUCAACUACACAUACAUUAGACGAAUAACUACAUAUAUUUUGAUUUAUGUGUUUGUAUUUUUAGGCUGAAAAAUGAAAUAUUAUACGUAUUAAGGUGAUAAACAAAAAUAUCAGCAGUAGAUUUUUUUUUCCACCAACAUUUUGUGCAAUAAACGAAAUGAUAAUUUUUUACUUUUUCAAAAUGUUUUAUAUACUAGGUUUUAGUCUGUGAUACACCAUGGAUCCAUAAUUUAAUAUAUUGUUUGUCAGUUCGAUUUUGGUUUUUGAGAAAAUCAAAACUGCUACGUUAAACAGAGAAGGUUGCAAUUAGGUUUUAAGAUUGGUUUCAAGACGACAAUUUAAAUUUGGGGUUAGUCUAGUUAGCGAUUUUACGAUUUUAAAUUGCAGUUAAGAAAAAUAUAUGAUUUGGUUGGUCGAGAAGAGUUUUAUAAUUUGUGUGAAAUUACGAAAUCUGGUAUCUGGUGACAUAGGGUAAAAGUACAUGUGAAAUUAGUUGAAAGUUGAAACACUAUAGCACAAGGAUCUGAUACAUGCACACCUAACAUAAUUUUUUGUUUUUUUUUUUUUUUUUUUGCAGGAUGAGAUAGUGUGCUAUUUGAAGGAAAACUUAAAAUUUUGAGAAAAUGGAAAAAGGUCUACUGUAUACACAACACAUAUUGUGAGGAGGAUAGAUCGAGCCUGUGAAGGUAGACAAAGAUGAAGGAUUUUGGCUGUUAAUUUCAAACGGAACUAGCACAAGUAAUAAAUCUACAAACUGAAGAAAAAAAAGAAAAAAACAACUAAUCUUGUGUCUCUAUAAUACAACCCCCAUCACCUAACUCAGCACAUAUAUGUAAAGCCACAAUGCCAAAGACUGGAUUUAUCAUAAUUUAAAACACACUAAAAGCCACCUACAUUUGUUUUAUCUCUCUACUCUUUUGUGCCGGUGUAUAGACUACACACAUGCAUGUUUAGAAGAAUGACCAAAUAGUGUGUUUCACCUUUUUAAAAAUCAUGUGUGCGGAGGAGGAGGUAAUGCGGGUCUCUCGCUGAGAACCUUGUUAAUGACUCUUCUGUUAAUGACUCUACUGAAAGAGAAUGGCCACGCCGGUGAAUUUGGAACUGUUAUUGGAAGAUCUAAAUGAUGGUGAAACCAUGAGGUCAGGUUAGUGAUCGUAAAAACGUUGAGACCACUGUGAAGUCGCAAAUUGACUCUCCCAUUCCUCAUCUUGAACAGAGCAGGCCAGCCAAUGAAGCCUUGCGGCAUCACAAUCAGUCUCAUCUCGUAGUAACUAGCAAAGUAAAAAAUAAGUAACUGAACCAUUAGUAGGAGAGAAAAAAAAUGAGGUACGAAACACUAAAAUUUGUGGAUUUCGAGGGCUCACAAGUUCAUGUGGCCUACUAAGAUUCAGAGAUAUUGUUAUUGCCACGAGGACUGCCUAUAUCCAUCCCAUCCUCCUUCUGGUUCUUUCCUCUUCAGAACACCACCUGACAUUGCUUGAUCGUCCUUCGACGGUAAGGAAGUAGAUGAGAAUAAUUGCCUUGCCAUAAGGGUUGAUUCGUCUCUUCCCUCUGUUUCAUGACCUCCAGGACCAGAAUUUAAGUCAAGUCCUGACCUAAACCAUUUCGCGCUAUUGUCCAAAACUCCGACAUUGCUACCACCAUUUAGGAGACCAACGAUAUAAGGUCUUGGGUAAUUAGACGGAACUGAAACCCCAGGACCCAAUAUUUGAGAGUUGACACCAGGGAAGCAAGCUCUCCCACUUGAAGAAGAAUCCAUGUGUGCUGUAGAAGCACCAGAAAAAUUUGUUGAGGGAAUGGGGAAGCUGUUUCCAAAAGGAAACACAGGAUACUGGAACGUUGUGGACUGAAACGGCAUGGCUGGAGACGACGACAAAACCGGACCCCUAUACCCUUCAGGGGUAAAUGAGGAAACACCAGUUGUUGGACCUAACAUUCUCUGUGGUCCACGAUUGGCAAUCAUUGGAAAAGGCUGAUCACCUCUCUCAGGCAUAAUUGGAGGAAUGCUCACAGCUGAAUAAGCGUUAGCAGCAGGAAACCAAGUUGAGAUACUAGCCAUGUUUUCGCCAUUCACUUGUAUCCCAGAGAGAGAUGGUUGUGAUGGCAAGCCACUCCGUGAAUGUUGAUUUAGAAUCAUAGAUGACUCAACAGCCGCAUCAUCACCAGCAGGUCCAUCAUUUAAAUCAAAAUCUCUACGACCACCAGCUGUUGAUAGUUUAACCUGCUGAAAAGAUGGCUCUAACCGAUGACUACUGCUCAUUGUGUAGUUGUUCAUAUCAGUGGAAUCAUCAACUUUGUUAAGAUCAAGAUCAAGUCCCCCAGAAGAAUGAUCAAGCGCUAAACCCAUGACCCCAGAAUGAAUGCGGUCACAACUAUCGGUGAUACCAGAUGUACAAUUUGUGGCAUUUCCAGAUUUUUGAGAAGCCAAAUCUUCAAGAACUCUCUCGUCAGCUACAUUCAAGUCAAAAUCCAAAAACGUCCUUGUCUGUUUACCAGCAGAUGUCGAAGCAUCAGAGGUAAAGGUAUUGUUAAUGCUCAGUAACACAUCCAGAGGUUUUCUUGGCGCAGCUGGGCGGAAGGCACUAGUGGCAGCAGAUCCUCUCCAACCAACAGCCCCUUUAUUUCUCAACAGAUCUUCAGGUGGAGCAAACGGACCUUUUGCAGCAGCAGCAGCAGUAAUUCUGCUAGAUACAGGAGCCACCGGCAAAGGUAAGGUAUUAACUGGUUUUAGAGGAGUAGGCGUCAAAAAUAAAGAUCUUGAGAAGUUAUUUGAAUCUACAUGUUUUAAAUCGUCUCCAUCAAAACCUUCAUUUAGAUCAAAUUCAACUCUGGCAUCCAUAUCUGAUCCACCUGAAGUUGCAGCUGAAACAGAAGAAGCAUCUCUGGCAGCAGAUGUACAUUCCUCUGCUUCAUCUCCAUCAGCAUCACUGGUUUUAGGCCCAUUCGGUCUCUUUAGAUCCUCUACAUCUUUAGGUGGUACUCCUGGUGUAGCUCUUAACCCUGUAUAGGGUUCCUUCACUUCAAUAUUUCCUAGAUUCCCCUCUACAGGCUCAACUUUACCUAUAGUUACAGAUGAAUCCAAACCAGCUGAGACCUCCUUUAUAGCAGCCACAGAAGCAUUACAAUCCAGCUUGAUCUUCUUUAUAUCUUUCUGGUCUAUAUGAUUAAUAGCUAUACUAUUAACCAUUUCAAUUACAGGUCUAUCAAUGAUUACUGCAUUCAUAUCCCUUGAAAUUCCGGGAGAAACUGGUACAUCUUCAUCCACUUUUUUAACUAGCUCAGAACUCAACACCGUUGGGGGUUUCUCUUCUUUCUUAUCAUCAUCGACACCGUCCAAGGGAGCGUGUCCAACAGCCACAGAAUCUACCUUUUCACUUAUAUCUUUACGAUUAGUUAGCAUCGAGCUUGCCAAUCUUUUCAUUGAGUCAGAUGUGUGAUCUGCAUCUGAAUUAGCAUCAGCCUUUGUAUCCUUUACUUCCACAGAGUCACUAUCAUCCAAAAUGUUUUCCUUAACCGCGUUUGUGGGCAAAGCAGGUGAAGCGAUGACAUAAUCUGAAUUGUCAUUGCUCUCUAAGUGUUGUUCCACCAACCUUUGCAGAUCUUCAGUGUCUGAAUUUGAUCUCUCAUCAGGAUCUCCACUCUUCGAUUCAUUUUUUAUAGCUGACUCCACCAACUGUGUGCCACUACUGCUAACAUGUUGCUCAUCCUGAUGUUGCUCGUGCGGCAACCCAUCCGAAGUAAUUAGCUUUGUAUUGUUCCCUACAGUAGAAUUUUCAUUCAUCCGGGAAUUUGACGGCUGAGAUACUGAGGGUGAUGCAACUGGCGAUUUAGACAUCUCAUCAGCAGCUACACUAGCAAGAAGAUUCAUUCCAACAUCAUCCGAACAAGCCAAAGAGGUAUUUGUCUCAGAGUAUCGGACACAACUUUCAAUCAAGGCAUUCAUUGAACUGAGUGUUCCACCAUGCCUUUCUCCAGAUUUGAACUCAUUUCCUGAGGAAGAUGUGCCUCUAACAUUCCCAGCUGCUUUAUCAGAAUCUUCAAGAGUUAUGCCACGCUCAUCAUCAGGAACAGCAAGUGGUGAACCAGCAGCCUUUUGCGAGCCUGUCAAAAUAUCUUUUAAUUCAUUGCUUUGCCAAGACUCAGCAUUCAAGACAGAGGUGACAUUAGCUCGAUAAGAAUUAUUCUUUUCUCUCGCAUUAUUGUCACACAGUUCCUGCUUCACUGCAUGCACAGGAGAAGAAGCUCUACUAUUCACCGGUGCAGGGUCCUCCAAAGAACCUCCACUCACACUUUGAGCAGGACUGCGUCCCCGAUUUGGCAGCUUCACAAUCAAUUUAUUACUGCAACCCUCAGUCAGAGGAACCUCAACAGUCUUUUCAGAUGUCAAACUUGAUUGAGAAAUUUUCUCAGAAGGGACGUUCCUUUGUGAUGAGAAGUUUUUACUUAAACCAGCUUCUCUAGGAGAGGCUAACGAAGAUGAUCCAUGAAAUGCAUUGUUUAAUUUAUGAUGCCUUGAAGAGCCACUAGAGCACUUCUUCACAGUUGAACCCGCAGUUGAGCUCCUUGCAUCCUCUUUUCCAGAUAAAUUGCCUGUUUUAGCAUGUUCGCUCGAGCAAGACUGACUAUUAUUGUGGGACUGACUGGAGCUGCUACUUUUCUCAACCUUUACUGCAGCUAAAACUUCAGAUACACCAUCAGUCCCAGUAUUUCGUUGCUGUCCAUCUUUGGAAACAGUACCACCUGAUCCGGGAGAUGGGGAUGAUCUUGUAGAGCCUGGCGACAUGGUUACACACUUCAGGUUGUUAUCCACCUGUUCUUUGACCGAGACUGACUUAGUUGCAUGUAGAUGUGAUGAAGAUGUCUUGUUUGCUUCCGCGGAACCACCUGUAUGCCUUCCCCCAUGAGUCAGUCUUCCAGGCCAAGAUACACCCUGGUUGGAUCCAGACUUCGCAUCCAUUUCUGCCUCAACUCGUUUCUUCCAUGUGUCAACCAAGCUCCUUGCUUUUCUCCCAAUCUCUGAAUUUUUAUGUGACCGUAGAUGAUUAACAGACUUUCCAAUGUUACAAGUCUGAAGCGCAUUGAGAUUCACAGGUAGCUUGUCAAGAGCGCGAAGUAAGACUAAGAGGAAAUCGUCUACUAACCUCUCACUGUCUUUAGGACUGCUCCCAUCCCCAACUUUCCCUUUAUGAACUUCCUGCAGCCACUCAUCAAACACGGGUAAUCCCCUGAGCUGGAAAAAACGAAUAAGGCAAUCAAACUUGUCUGUUGCCGCUACAACCCCAGCAAGAAUCGCACGGCCAACUAAGUCUAUUUUCUUCUCAUUCCUCUCAGGCAGCAUGAGCUGCACCAAUUUCUCAACUCCUUCAGAAUCCACCAGACCACCUUUCUCUGUAAAUUUUGAAAUCUCAGACUUUAAACCGCUUUCUGUUCUGACUGGACCGGAACCACUGUCAUCUACUCGAGUAAAACGUUC
Molecule: long non-coding RNA, 7613 nt
Filed under: Capsella rubella
Lineage: Eukaryota; Viridiplantae; Streptophyta; Magnoliopsida; Brassicales; Brassicaceae
Description: long non-coding RNA (CRUB_LNC002736)
Source: RNAcentral